Sycon ciliatum is the source of this 404-nucleotide long non-coding RNA. RefSeq lists it as uncharacterized. Lineage: Eukaryota; Metazoa; Porifera; Calcarea; Leucosolenida; Sycettidae. The transcript is spliced from 2 exons. The record is from RefSeq and is a predicted model, not a curated record.
UCGAUUUUUCCUCGCUCGUUGCCGUCUGUGGGUGUUUUGGGCGGAUGCGUGUUCUGCUUGCGGCCCUUCAUAUUGUUCUUUUCUGGGUAUUUGAGUGACGCUCCGUCGCAAUUGGUUGCGGAAGUGAAGCGCUUUCGUUCGUUACCUGCCCAUCGGCAGGUGGCGUUUAGAUUUGUGGGACUACCAAUCGUCCGGGUCAACGUUACCAGAAUAGUGGACGCCGGACAGGAACCACCCGGCCGUUAUCGGGAGCAGGUGCUUCUCCCUGGCUUGAAGUCAGUGAGCGUGCGAACAUGUUGGUGCCUGGAGUGGUGAAUGGAUGUCCAGAAAACGCUGUGAUUGAUACAGGAUCCGCCGCUAGAUUGUUGUCAGAGGAUUUUGCCGACCGCCUACCUAAGGAGCUG